CCUACGGGUGGCAGCAGUGAGGAAUAUUGCACAAUGGAGGAAACUCUGAUGCAGCAACGCCGCGUGGAGGAUGACGCAUUUCGGUGUGUAAACUCCUUUUAAGAGGGAAGAUAAUGACGGUACCUCUUGAAUAAGCACCGGCUAACUCCGUGCCAGCAGCCGCGGUAAUACGGAGGGUGCAAGCGUUACUCGGAAUCACUGGGCGUAAAGGGUGCGUAGGCUGGCUUCUAAGUCAGAUGUGAAAUCCAAUGGCUUAACCAUUGAACUGCAUUUGAAACUGGGAGCCUAGAGUUCAGAAGGGGCAGAUGGAAUUAGUGGUGUAGGGGUAAAAUCCGUAGAUAUCACUAGGAAUAUCAAAAGCGAAGGCGAUCUGCUGGGAUGAUACUGACGCUGAGGCACGAAAGCGUGGGGAGCAAACAGGAUUAGAUACCCGAGUAGUC
RNAcentral lists this ribosomal RNA (440 nucleotides) under uncultured bacterium. RNAcentral describes it as "partial 16S ribosomal RNA". It matches the Rfam family "Bacterial small subunit ribosomal RNA", at positions 338 to 795 of the family's 1533-position model. The record is from RNAcentral.